This is a non-coding RNA of Acanthosepion pharaonis, 96 nucleotides long. The record is from the annotation of a GenBank genome assembly. Lineage: Eukaryota; Metazoa; Mollusca; Cephalopoda; Sepiida; Sepiidae.
AAAACAUUGAUUCUUGUCUGAUCACAGAAGUUAAGCAAUAUUGAGCCUGGUCAGUAUCUAGAUGGGUGACUGCCUGAGAAUAGCAAGUGCUGGAAG